Paramisgurnus dabryanus is the source of this 1746-nucleotide long non-coding RNA. RefSeq lists it as uncharacterized. The record is from RefSeq and is a predicted model, not a curated record. Lineage: Eukaryota; Metazoa; Chordata; Actinopteri; Cypriniformes; Cobitidae.
UCUGGGGAAUGGGAUGGGAAGCUCAGUUUGAUUGCUUCCGCACACCAAGAAUGUUUCACUGUCACUUUCUUACUACUAACUAGAUAAAGUCUAUGGCAUGCUGUGACAUUUCACCCAUCCAUGAAGUUGAAAAUAAGGCUCCACAAAUGAAGGGAACUGGAAAAAAUCUAGUGACACUCCAUCAUAAACUGGGAAAGAAGUGAAGUCACAGCUGUUACACUGCAGAACACCUCCAGGCACGACUAGGCCAUUUUCCAGUCUUCCACAGAAGUCGAGGAAGAAGUAGCCUAGUUGUGCGACAGCUCUCGUAUAUCCCUCCUACCGUGGAAAAGGUUACUACGAACUGCUGCAAGGGUGGGACAUUUUGGCUCAGGCUACGCUGGGGAAGCGUGACAUUCCCUUACAAACGACUCACAUUUGAGCCAAAAUGGCGUCUGUUUCGUAACCUUGUGUGGUAAGCGUUUUACGAUGGGUGACGUCGUGCCUCUGCCUCUGGGUCCAGAAAUGCCGCGGGGUGGCAUCACUGAUAGUGGGUGGCACCCGAAUUGGUGUGACGUCAUUUUAAUGCAGCCAUGUAUUAUCCUUUUUGUUUAAAAGAUUUAAAGCUUCAUUAGGGUACAUUAGGAUAAAUAAAUAUAUAGAUAGAUAAAUAAAAAUGAAAUAAAAAUAGCUAUUAAAGUGUUAUAAUAAAUGAAAUAUAAAAGUGUUUAUUGUAUGACGUUAUCAUAAACUCAUUCUUGAAAUUAAUUACUGUUCAUUCAUGUUAAAGUAGUUUAUACACCAUGCAUCGAUGUAAACAGGUCUUAUUUCACUAUGGGUAAGGCUCUUGUGGCUCAGAAAGCCAUGUCAGGCUGAGAUCCGUCCAAAGUCAUAUUUUGGUUACAUCAGGUACUUAAUAUAUAAUUAAUACUAUUAAUUUACAACUCAAUUUGUUUAACUUUCUUUACUUAACCAUAAUAUUCAUAUUUAACAAUAAAACAUUUAAAUGUAGACACAGACAUCUCCUAAUUUAAUAAAAUAUAAUUAAGACCUGGUUUAAAAUAUUUAAUACAAAUAUUUAUUUAACAAUAUAUAUAUAUAUGUAGUGCAUCUAAACAAUGAUAAAAUGUUUUCUGAAUGGCUGAGUUUACACAGAUAUUCUUUACGAACCCUAAUGUUGUGUGAAAGGGGUGGCUCAUGAAUAUUAAUUCGACUAUAUGAUUGGAUAUUCCAGGAAGGUUAUCAACUAGCGUCAGCAUGUAACAAUGAAUAUUCAUAAGAUAAGCCAGUCACCGCGUAGGAUUUAUAAUCGUGUAUGCCCACUUUCUGUUAAAAGGCGACAUCAAGUGGUCAUCAUGUUAAAGUACAAUGACAAUAAAAACAUUCAUCAUCAUCAUUAUCAUCAUCAUGAACAAAUUAAAAAAAUUAUAAUUUUUUUACUUCUAUAUUUUCCCUUCAUCCUUUAAAACGCCAUAGAUUGACAAAACUGUUUAGGGAACCACCAUCAUUUUGAGAUGCAUUUUUUGUUUUGCAUUUUUACAAUUAUUUAGUUGAAUUGUUAAGGAUAUAUUGAGGCUAAUGUAUUUUUGUUGCUUUUUUCCUUUGUAAUGUUGAAACAAAAUUAGUUUGAAUUUCUUCUUAACUGUAUAAAAUGCCAUUACUACAUGUCACUGGUUUUCAUAUGAGCAGUAAACCUGCAACAAUGUGGCUCCCAUUUCGGUAUAAGUAUGGGCCUGCUAGAGCAAUAAAGAAAUAAACUUACAAAAA